GCCCCAUUAGCUCAGCCGGUAGAGCACAUGACUUUUAAUCAUGGUGUCCGGAGUUCGAUUCUCCGAUGGAGCACCA
RNAcentral lists this transfer RNA (76 nucleotides) under Clostridia bacterium. RNAcentral's name for it is "tRNA-Lys". It matches the Rfam family "tRNA". Rfam says of the family: Transfer RNA (tRNA) molecules are approximately 80 nucleotides in length. Their secondary structure includes four short double-helical elements and three loops (D, anti-codon, and T loops). Further hydrogen bonds mediate the characteristic L-shaped molecular structure. tRNAs have two regions of fundamental functional importance: the anti-codon, which is responsible for specific mRNA codon recognition, and the 3' end, to which the tRNAs corresponding amino acid is attached (by aminoacyl-tRNA synthetases). tRNAs cope with the degeneracy of the genetic code in two manners: having more than one tRNA (with a specific anti-codon) for a particular amino acid; and 'wobble' base-pairing, i.e. permitting non-standard base-pairing at the 3rd anti-codon position. Lineage: Bacteria; Bacillati; Bacillota; Clostridia. RNAcentral also lists the same sequence under 1 other name. The record is from RNAcentral.